This 352-nucleotide unclassified non-coding RNA is filed under the name soil metagenome. Its description in RNAcentral is "partial contains 5.8S ribosomal RNA, internal transcribed spacer 2, and large subunit ribosomal RNA". The stretch from base 1 to 120 matches the Rfam family "5.8S ribosomal RNA", at positions 35 to 154 of the family's 154-position model. The record is from RNAcentral.
GAUGAAGAACGUAGCGAAAUGCGAUAAGUAAUGCGAAUUGCAGAUUUCAGUGAAUCAUCGAAUCUUUGAACGCACAUUGCGCCCGCCAGUAUUCUGGCGGGCAUGCCUGUUCGAGCGUCAUUACAACCCUCAGGCCCCCGGGCCUGGCGUUGGGGAUCGGCGGAGCCCCCCGUGGGCACACGCCGUCCCCCAAAUGCAGUGGCGGUCCCGCCGCAGCUUCCAUCGCGUAGUAGCUAACACCUCGCGACUGGAGAGCGGCGCGGCCACGCCGUAAAACACCCAACUCUUCUGAAGUUGACCUCGAAUCAGGUAGGAAUACCCGCUGAACUUAAGCAUAUCAAUAAGCGGAGGA